Non-coding RNA from Drosophila kikkawai, 480 nucleotides. NCBI's taxonomy places the organism in Eukaryota, Metazoa, Arthropoda, Insecta, Diptera, Drosophilidae. The record is from RefSeq and is a predicted model, not a curated record.
UAGGAGCCGAGGAGCAUUAAAUCAAAAUUGAAAUCAAAUCGUCAACGGCAGCAGCUGCAGAUUUAAAACGGAAGCUUAAAGGCUUGCAGGCGGCAUAUGGCCCCACGCCGACUGACAGAGAGGUUGGAGGAUGAGGAUGAGGGGGAGGAGCUCACUCUGGCACCUAUUUCAAACUCAAUUAAACACGGAAAGGCCAGCAGCAGCCGGCAUCCUAUGGUGUGUGUCAUGAAAUUCGCCACGGUGGACACAGCUGUUCUUUAUGUGGCUCCCACCGAGCGGGUGAGUGUGGGCUUAUUGUGGAUGCAGUCUGAACGGGUGGAUUAAAUAUUUGAAUACAGUUGCCAGUUGCCAUCCUCCUCUUUCAGUCCUGGUCUGGCCUGUCGUGUUCUCUCUGGGCGUUUCGUUUUGAUAUCAUUUAAAGGGCUUCGAGUCAUGUUCUUGGUUCCGUAACUAAAUAAAGAGCUUCGGUCAGUCCCGAAA